CCUACGGGAGGCAGCAGUGAGGAAUAUUGGUCAAUGGACGAGGGUCUGAACCAGCCAAGUAGCGUGAAGGAUGACUGCCCUAUGGGUUGUAAACUUCUUUUAUAUGGGAAUAAAAUGUUCCACGUGUGGGAUUUUGUAUGUACCAUAUGAAUAAGGAUCGGCUAACUCCGUGCCAGCAGCCGCGGUAAUACGGAGGAUCCGAGCGUUAUCCGGAUUUAUUGGGUUUAAAGGGGGCGUAGGUGGAUUGUUAAGUCAGUUGUGAAAGUUUGCGGCUCAACCGUAAAAUUGCAGUUGAAACUGGCAGUCUUGAGUACAGUAGAGGUGGGCGGAAUGCGUGGUGUAGCGGUGAAAUGCUUAGAUAUCACGAAGAACUCCGAUUGCGAAGGCAGUUCACUGGACUGCAACUGACACUGAGGCUCGAAAGUGUGGGUAUCAAACAGGAUUAGAUACCCUUGUAGUC
This 460-nucleotide ribosomal RNA is filed under the name uncultured bacterium. Its description in RNAcentral is "partial 16S ribosomal RNA". It matches the Rfam family "Bacterial small subunit ribosomal RNA", at positions 338 to 795 of the family's 1533-position model. The record is from RNAcentral.